Long non-coding RNA from Cornus florida, 576 nucleotides. RefSeq lists it as uncharacterized. The transcript is spliced from 2 exons. NCBI's taxonomy places the organism in Eukaryota, Viridiplantae, Streptophyta, Magnoliopsida, Cornales, Cornaceae. The record is from RefSeq and is a predicted model, not a curated record.
UCUUUUCCUUCAAUUUGUGGCUUUCUUUCUAUCUCUACACAGUGAGCUUUCUCUCCCUAAAAACACUAUUCAAGCCUUGAUUUCUCCCUUUGCACUUGGAAUUCAACUUUGCCAUUGAAGGCAAAGUUUGACAAGGUCGAUGAGAGCUUCGUUUUGGUUAGACCCGACCUUCGUUUGGAGCACCUUGGAGUUUCGAAUUUUGGGGGUUUUUCUUGGUUUGCUCUUCAAUUUUAAGAUUCACGGGGUCAUUAAGAGGUGUGUCUUAGGCACCUCCUAUUAAGCCGUUGUGUUUACCCCUUUUUUAUAUUUUCAAGACACAUGAAGGAAGUGGCAGACGACGUUCCACCACAGACUUAGGCAUGAUUAGAAAUUGACUUUUGCUAUCUUUUGUAACUAAUUCUCAAUAUUUUGUAACAUCUUAACUUGAUACAGUUGUUGUUGUGAUUGGGGAUUCUUAACCAAGAAUAUUGUUUCAGGGACUGUAUUUUGAUGUAACUAUGACUAUAUUGUAAAUGGCUAUCAAAUUAUGUAAUGAUCCAUGUUGAUGUAUUAUGAAUGAAUGAGGUUCAUUUUGCA